Molecule: long non-coding RNA, 258 nt
Filed under: Volvox carteri
Lineage: Eukaryota; Viridiplantae; Chlorophyta; Chlorophyceae; Chlamydomonadales; Volvocaceae
Description: long non-coding RNA (VCAR_LNC000894)
Source: RNAcentral
UGGGUCACUUCCGUGGCUACAAAUGCUGCCAACAUCGAUGUUAAUUCAUCCGUACAUGUACGGCACCGAUGCAGCGGCGGUCGUUUCGCCAAUGCACGGCAGCAGUGGCGUUACGACUGCGUCGACGCCGACGGAGACGUCCGGUGGCGGCGGCGGCGGCGAGCCCCGUACUCUUAGCAGUACUGCUCAGGCUAUAAGCCGUGUGGUUUCAUCAGACAGCAGCAGCCGUGGCAGCGGAUGGGCGGUGCGCGGCGGCGG